GUGCUCACUUUGCAGGACAUGUAUGGAAACUGAAAUGAUAUAGAAAUUAGCAUGGCCACUGUGCAAGGAUUACACCCAAAAAGAAGGGGAAAAGAUUAUA
This 100-nucleotide small nuclear RNA is filed under the name Suricata suricatta (meerkat). Lineage: Eukaryota; Metazoa; Chordata; Mammalia; Carnivora; Herpestidae. The record is from RNAcentral.